Sinocyclocheilus grahami is the source of this 909-nucleotide long non-coding RNA. NCBI's taxonomy places the organism in Eukaryota, Metazoa, Chordata, Actinopteri, Cypriniformes, Cyprinidae. The record is from Ensembl.
UUCAGUGUCUUGUCUUAUCUUUGUAAGAAGCCUGUAGUAGAAAAAGAAGUGGGUCGUACCCUUUCGAACAUCUCUACUAUUCACAAAAAGGCUGACUUGAGUAAAACCAAAGACAAGCUGGUAGAUGUCGAAGAAAAACUUGUGGAGACCAACUUCGGUGAUGUAACACCUUUUAAAUUUCUCCAAACCAACACUUCCUCUGAGAGGGUAGAGGUAAGUAUGGAGACAGUUUACCACAGCCAUGAGGACACGGGGAAGAAAACCUCUGGAGAGAAGAAGAAAAGCAGAGAGAGGGGAAAGGGCAAAGGAAAUAAAGGACGUCAAAAACGACAAAGGAAACGUUUGGAAGAUCAAGACAACAUGGAAGACGAGGUUGAGGAAGCAUCAUCUGACGACGAGGAAUAUGAAUAUGAGGACGAGGUGCCCACGGAAGAGCCUUUUCCCUCUCGAGAGGAGAAGGGCGAAGGGGAGGAGCUAAAAUACUCCGCAACAACAGCUAUAUACACACAAGAAAAUGAGGGUGAAACAACUCCUCCGAUUACGCAGUCUUUAGAGGAGAUUACACUGAUGGUUUACACAACAACAGCGAGUCCCCUGCUUUCAUCAAAAUUCACAGAGCAGAAGCCGCCUGAAACCACGUUAUUAUCAGUGCUAAAUACAACACAAACUGGAGAAGAGGUAAACUUGUCCCACAAUAGCGGCCUGGAAGGGGCAAGAUGUAAAGUGAAGAGGAGUGCCCCUUCAUCUGAGCACAUGGCCUACAUGCCUGGAACACCAGGAGGACAAAACCUUUACAAACAAGGAUCUAAGCGGUCCACCUCAGGUGCACGAGGCAACAAGAAGCUAAAUGUGAGUGAGUUUAAUCUACGUAAAAAAAAAAAAAAAAAAAGAGGAAUUCAUAGCACUUAA